Molecule: long non-coding RNA, 1843 nt
Organism: Lycium ferocissimum
Lineage: Eukaryota; Viridiplantae; Streptophyta; Magnoliopsida; Solanales; Solanaceae
Exons: 2
Source: RefSeq, a predicted model, not a curated record
GACCAAAGAACAAAACAAAAGAUAAGAGCAAAACAAAAGGACAUCAGCCAAAAUUAGGAAAGUUCCUGAAGAUUAGGGUUCUUCCUCUUCUAACCACUAGAAAGAUGGUCGGAAUCGGCCUUCAUCAUCGAUCUAUAGCAAGCUUCUUUGCUUUGGAUACACUUUCUCGCACCCCAAGCUCUCACCAGGUGCUGUGGAUCCAUCGCCAUGGAGUUGAUUCUCAGAGUGUAGCCAAAUCUUGAUCUAUGAGUGCUUAUUGCAGAUACUUUAACUUCAAAGACCUCUAUGCAGAAUCAUCUCCUUCAAAGGUUCAAAAGAUUUGUAACCAUCUCAUUUCCUUGCAUGUUCUCCAUUUCUGUACUAUUCUGCUCAACUUCAGUUUCUACUUGAUUUUUUUUUGCGAUUUCAUUUACAGGAAACACAAAUUCAACAUGGGACACUAUAUGAGCACUAGGAGAUUUCUCCAAUGUUUUCUGUUGCUCUUUCUCUUUGUUGUUAGUGAUAUUUCUCAUUUCUGCAUGUUGUUACUUUGCAGGUAUGUCAACAACAUCUACUUGAGAACAAUCAACAAUUUUUUCCACCUCUUUAGUUUCUGGUGGUUUUCCAAAGAUUUGUAAGUUUCCCUCUACUAGCAUCGCCUUCCAUCAUCUCUGCCUUACUUUCUUCUAGUAUAUUAGAGAAAGAAGCACAUAAAAGUUCUUUAUUCUUAUUGUUCACCUUCUCCACCUGUUGUUGGUCCUCUUCUACAGCAUUUUUUGACUUACUGGUGACCUCAUUUUUCUUCUGAUUUGUGGAAUUAGAGUUAACUUCUUGACAAGAUUCAGUAUCUUUUUUCCCCUCUGAUUCUGUGCCUUCAAUCUCCUCUAUCCUAUCUCCCCAUUUCUUUGUUGAUUCUAUUGUUGAUGUCUCCUUUGUUGUUUCCAAUGGCUUUUAAAUUGUCAUUUUAGCAUCCUCUUGUGCAGUAAUUUCCACCUCAGGUUUAGUCCCCUUAUUUUCACAACCAGUGUUCUGCUGAGUAGGUUCUUCAUCCCUUUUAUCCUUGAUAUCUCCUGAUGCAGUCACUUCCUUAUUGGUACCUUCUAUAAUUUCAUUCAUUGUUUUAGUAUCACCAGCCUUCAUCUCCUUGUCUUUUUUAUCCCCUUCCUCUGUCAAUGACUCAAAUUUGUUAUGAGUAUGUAUCUGAUCAUUUGAAUCCUUCAAUUUUUGUCUAGCAGUCUCCUUCCUUUUGUUUUUAUCUUUCCAAAUAGGUGGGGGAUGUCCAACCACUUUGCCACUAGUGAGAACUUUCAUGGGCUGCUUAAAAAAUUGUUCCUGUAAUUAUGAUUUCUAUUAACACCCUUGCGAUAUGGUACUGUUUUCUUCAUUCCAUCUUCCGCUUGUUUUUGCUUCUGUAUUUUAUCUGUUUUGACUUCAUUAUUUAUGUGUUCCUCUUUUGCAGGUCUCAGUUCCGAAUUCAAAGACUCUACAUUCUUCUUCAUUGUGACCCUGUAGUUUACGCUCAAAGCAAUAUUUCGGUAGAUAGUCAUAUCUAAUGUUCACCAUCUCUGUCCUCUCAGCCCCAGUUUCCUCAUUUAUUAUAUCCAUUUGCGCUGUUCUCAUUAGAUCCGAAUUUAGAUUUACCAAAACAUUUACCAUAGCACAACUCAGGCGAGUCCUGUUCACUGUUGCAAGGUCUAGAUGCAAUGGCUUUCCAACAGAAGUAGCCAAUGAAAACAGUGAUUUCUUCACAAAAAAUGUAGGGAGCAGAUUAGGAAAUGAUAUCCACGCCAUCACUUUUGUAGUUUCCUCCUCUAUUUUGAAUUUUGAAUCAUAUAUCCGAGGCCGCAUCUGGUAGUAGUAUCCA